This 720-nucleotide ribosomal RNA is filed under the name Rhagoletis cerasi. RNAcentral describes it as "partial 12S ribosomal RNA". The record is from RNAcentral. Lineage: Eukaryota; Metazoa; Arthropoda; Insecta; Diptera; Tephritidae.
AUGUAAGUUUUUGCGUGAAUUUUUAUUUAUUUUAAUAAUAAAUAAAUUUUAUUAUAUUUUCAGUAAUUAAUUUUAUUUAUUAAAGCAAUUUAUAAAUAGUAAUUUUAUUAUAGUAUUGGCUAAAUUUGUGCCAGCAGCUGCGGUUAUACAAAUAAUACAAGUAAAAUCAGUUCAGUGUAAGUUAAAUUUUAUAUUAAUAGAAUAAUUAUAAAUUUAUUAGGUGAAAUUUUAAAUUUAUUUAUUUCUAAUUUUUUUUAUUGAAGCUUGUAAAUUUUAUAAAUAAACUAGGAUUAGAUACCCUAUUAUUUUAAAUGUAAUUUUAAACACUAAGGUAGUAGUAGUUAUGUUCUUAAAACUUAAAAAAUUUGGCGGUAUUUUAGUCUAUUCAGAGGAACCUGUUCUUUAAUCGAUAGUCCACGAUGUACCUUACUUAAGUUUGUUUUUCAGUUUAUAUACCGUCGUUAUUAGAAUAUUUUAUUAGAAUAAUAAUUUUCUAUAAUUUUUAUUAAAAUUUAUAUCAGAUCAAGGUGUAGCUUAUAUUUAAGUAGAGAUGGGUUACAAUAAAAUUAUUUAAGCGAAUUUAAAUUUGAAAUAUUUAAUGAAGAUGGAUUUGAUAGUAAAGUUUUAAAGAUAAAAAAUUUGAUUUUAGCUCUAAAAUAUGUACACAUCGCCCGUCACUCUUACUAUUAAGGUAAGAUAAGUCGUAACAUAGUAGAUGUA